UACGAAGGGGGCUAGCGUUGCUCGGAAUCACUGGGCGUAAAGCGCACGUAGGCGGAUCUUUAAGUCAGGGGUGAAAUCCCAAGGCUCAACCUUGGAACUGCCUUUGAUACUGGGGAUCUCGAGUCCGGAAGAGGUUGGUGGAACUGCGAGUGUAGAGGUGAAAUUCGUAGAUAUUCGCAAGAACACCAGUGGCGAAGGCGGCCAACUGGUCCGGUACUGACGCUGGGGUGCGAAAGCGUGGGGAGCAAACAGG
Molecule: ribosomal RNA, 253 nt
Filed under: uncultured bacterium
Lineage: Bacteria
Description: partial 16S ribosomal RNA
Rfam family: Bacterial small subunit ribosomal RNA
Source: RNAcentral